Molecule: transfer RNA, 67 nt
Filed under: Marmota monax (woodchuck)
Lineage: Eukaryota; Metazoa; Chordata; Mammalia; Rodentia; Sciuridae
Description: tRNA.Ala
Source: RNAcentral
GGUUGUGGCUCAGUGGCAGAGCACUUGCCUAGCAUGUGGGAGGCACUGGGUUCAAUUUUCACCACCA